AGCGAACGCUGGCGGCAGGCUUAACACAUGCAAGUCGAGCGGGCGUAGCAAUACGUCAGCGGCAGACGGGUGAGUAACGCGUGGGAACAUACCUUUGGUUCGGAACAACACAGGGAAACUUGUGCUAAUACCGGAUAAGCCCUUACGGGGAAAGAUUUAUCGCCGAAAGAUUGGCCCGCGUCUGAUUAGCUAGUUGGUGAGGUAACGGCUCACCAAGGCGACGAUCAGUAGCUGGCUGAGAGGAUGAUCAGCCACAUUGGGACUGAGACACGGCCCAAACUCCUACGGGAGGCAGCAGUGGGGAAUAUUGGACAAUGGGCGAAAGCCUGAUCCAGCCAUGCCGCGUGAGUGAUGAAGGCCCUAGGGUUGUAAAGCUCUUUUGUGCGGGAAGAUAAUGACGGUACCGAGAGAAGAAGCCACGGCUAACUCUGUGCCAGCCGCCGCAGU
Molecule: ribosomal RNA, 447 nt
Filed under: uncultured bacterium
Lineage: Bacteria
Description: bacterial SSU rRNA
Rfam family: Bacterial small subunit ribosomal RNA
Source: RNAcentral